This 1372-nucleotide ribosomal RNA is filed under the name uncultured bacterium. RNAcentral describes it as "bacterial SSU rRNA". It matches the Rfam family "Bacterial small subunit ribosomal RNA", at positions 28 to 1381 of the family's 1533-position model. The record is from RNAcentral.
GAUAAACGCUGGCGGCGUGCCUAAUACAUGCAAGUCGAGCGAACGGACGAGAAGCUUGCUUCUCUGAUGUUAGCGGCGGACGGGUGAGUAACACGUGGAUAACCUACCUAUAAGACUGGGAUAACUUCGGGAAACCGGAGCUAAUACCGGAUAAUAUUUUGAACCGCAUGGUUCAAAAGUGAAAGACGGUCUUGCUGUCACUUAUAGAUGGAUCCGCGCUGCAUUAGCUAGUUGGUAAGGUAACGGCUUACCAAGGCAACGAUGCAUAGCCGACCUGAGAGGGUGAUCGGCCACACUGGAACUGAGACACGGUCCAGACUCCUACGGGAGGCAGCAGUAGGGAAUCUUCCGCAAUGGGCGAAAGCCUGACGGAGCAACGCCGCGUGAGUGAUGAAGGUCUUCGGAUCGUAAAACUCUGUUAUUAGGGAAGAACAUAUGUGUAAGUAACUGUGCACAUCUUGACGGUACCUAAUCAGAAAGCCACGGCUAACUACGUGCCAGCAGCCGCGGUAAUACGUAGGUGGCAAGCGUUAUCCGGAAUUAUUGGGCGUAAAGCGCGCGUAGGCGGUUUUUUAAGUCUGAUGUGAAAGCCCACGGCUCAACCGUGGAGGGUCAUUGGAAACUGGAAAACUUGAGUGCAGAAGAGGAAAGUGGAAUUCCAUGUGUAGCGGUGAAAUGCGCAGAGAUAUGGAGGAACACCAGUGGCGAAGGCGACUUUCUGGUCUGUAACUGACGCUGAUGUGCGAAAGCGUGGGGAUCAAACAGGAUUAGAUACCCUGGUAGUCCACGCCGUAAACGAUGAGUGCUAAGUGUUAGGGGGUUUCCGCCCCUUAGUGCUGCAGCUAACGCAUUAAGCACUCCGCCUGGGGAGUACGACCGCAAGGUUGAAACUCAAAGGAAUUGACGGGGACCCGCACAAGCGGUGGAGCAUGUGGUUUAAUUCGAAGUAACGCGAAGAACCUUACCAAAUCUUGACAUCCUUUGACAACUCUAGAGAUAGAGCCUUCCCCUUCGGGGGACAAAGUGACAGGUGGUGCAUGGUUGUCGUCAGCCCGUGUCGUGAGAUGUUGGGUUAAGCCCCGCAACGAGCGCAACCCUUAAGCUUAGUUGCCAUCAUUAAGUUGGGCACUCUAAGUUGACUGCCGGUGACAAACCGGAGGAAGGUGGGGAUGACGUCAAAUCAUCAUGCCCCUUAUGAUUUGGGCUACACACGUGCUACAAUGGACAAUACAAAGGGCAGCGAAACCGCGAGGUCAAGCAAAUCCCAUAAAGUUGUUCUCAGUUCGGAUUGUAGUCUGCAACUCGACUACAUGAAGCUGGAAUCGCUAGUAAUCGUAGAUCAGCAUGCUACGGUGAAUACGUUCCCGGGUCU